CCUACGGGUGGCAGCAGUGGGGAAUAUUGCGCAAUGGGCGAGAGCCUGACGCAGCGACGCCGCGUGAGGGAUGAAGGUCUUCGGAACGUAAACCUCUGUCAGCAGGGAAGAAAAUGACGGUACCUGACUAAGAAGCCCCGGCUAACUACGUGCCAGCAGCCGCGGUAAUACGUAGGGGGCAAGCGUUAUCCGGAUUUACUGGGUGUAAAGGGAGCGUAGACGGCAGCGCAAGUCUGGAGUGAAAUCCCAUGGCUUAACCAUGGAACUGCUUUGGAAACUGUGCAGCUAGAGUGCAGGAGAGGUAAGCGGAAUUCCUAGUGUAGCGGUGAAAUGCGUAGAUAUUAGGAGGAACACCAGUGGCGAAGGCGGCUUACUGGACUGUAACUGACGUUGAGGCUCGAAAGCGUGGGGAGCAAACAGGAUUAGAUACCCGGGUAGUC
This 440-nucleotide ribosomal RNA is filed under the name uncultured bacterium. RNAcentral describes it as "partial 16S ribosomal RNA". It matches the Rfam family "Bacterial small subunit ribosomal RNA", at positions 338 to 795 of the family's 1533-position model. The record is from RNAcentral.